Molecule: ribosomal RNA, 754 nt
Filed under: Alnicola escharioides
Lineage: Eukaryota; Fungi; Basidiomycota; Agaricomycetes; Agaricales; Hymenogastraceae
Description: partial 25S ribosomal RNA
Rfam family: Eukaryotic large subunit ribosomal RNA
Source: RNAcentral
CCCUAGUAACUGCGAGUGAAGCGGGAAAAGCUCAAAUUUAAAAUCUGGCGGUCUCCGGCCGUCCGAGUUGUAAUCUAGAGAAGUGUUAUCCGCGCUGGACCGUGUACAAGUCUCCUGGAAUGGAGCGUCAUAGAGGGUGAGAAUCCCGUCUUUGACACGGACUGCCAGGGCUUUGUGAUGCGCUCUCAAAGAGUCGAGUUGUUUGGGAAUGCAGCUCAAAAUGGGUGGUAAAUUCCAUCUAAAGCUAAAUAUUGGCGAGAGACCGAUAGCGAACAAGUACCGUGAGGGAAAGAUGAAAAGAACUUUGGAAAGAGAGUUAAACAGUACGUGAAAUUGCUGAAAGGGAAACGCUUGAAGUCAGUCGCGUUGGCCGGGGAUCAACCUUGCUUUUGCUGGGUGUACUUUCCGGUCGACGGGUCAGCAUCAAUUUUGACCGUUGGAUAAAGUUCAGGGGAAUGUGGCAUCUUCGGAUGUGUUAUAGCCCUUGGUCGCAUACAACGAUUGGGAUUGAGGAACUCAGCACGCCGCAAGGCCGGGUACUUGUACCACGUUCGUGCUUAGGAUGCUGGCAUAAUGGCUUUAAUCGACCCGUCUUGAAACACGGACCAAGGAGUCUAACAUGCCUGCGAGUGUUUGGGUGGAAAACCCGGGCGCGUAAUGAAAGUGAAAGUUGAGAUCCCUGUCGCGGGGAGCAUCGACGCCCGGACCAGACCUUUUGUGACGGAUCCGCGGUAGAGCAUGUAUGUUGGGACCC